CAUUUAUUCAGUGCUUACUGUGUGCCAAGGAGUAUGCUGGGGGCCAGGAACAGUAAAGUGACAGGUAAGACCCAAGGUCAGUUGCUAUCAGUGACAUUAUGUGACCCUGAUGAACAUAAGAAGAGCACACCUUCAGGCCUCACUCUAAGGCUUGGGCUGGACCUUUGACAUGACCUGGAUUGUAACCUGCCUGGAUGCUCCUAGUAACAGAAAGGGACACAAUGGGCCUUUCCUUCCUCUGCCUCCAGGUGUUACAGCACACAGGUGUUACAGCACACAGGCACACCAGUGCAUCUCAGAACACACGCACUUACAUGCACACAGGUGUUACAGCACACAGGCACACCAGUGCAUCUCAGAACACACGCACUUACAUGCACACAGGUGUUACAGCACACAGGCACACCAGUGCAUCUCAGAAAACACGCACAUACAUGCACACAGGUGUUACAGCACACAGGCACCCCUACACAUCUCUCUUGAUACAGGAACACCACAACAUCUCAGACCAACACACACACACACACACACACACACACACACACCUGGUCAAUCAGUCAUUCAAAAAGGUGGUAUAGAAGGACCACCCAGGGCUGGGACCUCUGCUCCUAAAACUCUUUGGCCAAAGACAAAAUGGAAAAGUGGGGAAGAAGAGAACUUAAGGCUCCACUGUAGAAGUUCUCAGGGGACCCAGGUCAGUGGUACUGACCUUACCAUUUUUAUUUGGCUACCAGUCUGGCAUAGUCAGUCACCUUGAGUCAGUGUCCUGUUACAUGAGGAGGGAGGGGAUGCCUCAUUCCCUGUACUGGCUGUCCUUCUCUAGUGCCAAGAUGGUUAAGUUUCUGUCUCAUGCUACACACACCAUGCUCAUGUGACUUAGCUACAGGUCCCCUUAGCCACUCUGUGAGGGCACAGAUGCCUCCAUUUCAUUGUAGGAAAUGAUACUCAAGAUUUUCCUGAAAAUGACAUAUGCUGCUAACCUCUGUGCUUCGCUCAGAGAAGUCAAGGUUAGGAAGUGACCCAUGGACCUGUCUUGGAACUUUCCAUGUAACAAUGACUCACUGCAGGGACCAAGGGGUACAGAUGGUAGCUGUGUUGGCAGGGCCAUGAUGCCUUCUUCCUAGAGGACACUGACUCUCCUGAACAUUUAGGAGGCUCUGCCCACAGAGUGAGUUAGAGCUUGGGGACAGUCUCACCUUGACCCUCAACCCAAGGAAGGGCUACAGGCUGAGGAUAAGCAAGCCCCCCUGAACCAUUCAGGCGCUCUUAUCCUCACAGGCCAUGGUCUAUGUGUGAGGAAAAGUAGCUAGUUGGACCCUGGUAACUUGCACAGAUAAGGAACCUCAAUGCCCCCAAAGCCCAUGGGAACCUGUCUUAGUGUCCUUCAUAGGUAACAGCACUGAGGCUGUAAUGGCCCCCAUAGCCUAGCUCUGUUGAGACAACUGCAGAGCUCUGAGCAGGACACUUUCACCACAGGCUGUCAUAAGCUUGUCCCUACCCAUCACCAGUCUCUCCAGAUGGUGUAUCUGCCUAGGCUGACAGGAAAAUGCAACAAAUUCCACUGAGCAGGGCAUAUCUGUGAACCUACAAUCCUUGGCACUCAGAAAGCUGACCAGGUCAAAGCCAACUAAAGAGACAAGUGAGAUCCUGCCUUGAAGCAAAGCAAAAAGACUCCCAUGACUCUACUUAGCUGAAUGUGUUUGUGCUGCUCUGGGACAGUCCUGUCCACAUGACUGCAAUACUGGAUGUGUCCCUCUGCCCAUUUUCAGUGUCUAUAGGGCCUAGGCCAGUCCCUUUAGACUGCCUAGCAUGUACAAGACCAUGGUAAGGGUUUACAUACAAGUGUUUACUUUUUUGGGGGGGUUUUUCUGUGGCUUUGGAGGCUAUCCUGGAAUGAGCUCUUGUAGACCAGGCUGGUCUUGAACUCAAGGAGAUCCACCUGCCUCUGACUCCUGAGUGCUGGGACUAAAGGCAUUUUUGCCACCACUGCCCAGCAAGUGUUUGGUUUUUUGAGAUAGGGUUUCUCUGUGUAGCCCUGGCUGUCCUGGAACUUGCUCUGUAGACCGGGUUGGCCUUGAACUCAGAGAUCUGACUGUAUCUUCCUCCAGAGUGCUGGGGUUAAAGGUGUGCACCACCACUGCCUAGCUAUGUGCAAGUUUUGACCAGAACUUAUGGAUUGCAGCAUGGGGGACAUAACACAAGAAAGUAGCUCCCAAAGGCCUGUACCUUGUCUUUGAUCUUAAUGAAGGUUGGAGCCAGCUGUGAAUAGGCCCCAGCAGAAAGUGAUGAGUGCAGUGGCCUAGAAGAAGCUAUCCUUGAUGUGUCUAGACCCUGUGGUCUCCAGAGGUGCAAGUGAGACUGGCUCUGCCUGUGCUCAUCAAGUGAAACCACAAGGCUGGGUGUCACUUCCUGUUCCUCCCAUCUCCAGAGCUUGCAGGACAAGGGGAAAGAUGAAAAGGCUAGUGCUUCUGCCCGUGUCUAGCCUGUGGUUCUGUCCUUAUCUCAGGCUACCCCCCUUGAGGUUGACGUGAUCUGGGAAUUAUUCCUCCAAGUACCCAUCAGCCUCCAUGGCUCAAAUGACCCUUGUACAAAUAGCUUGUCCCAUACCUGAGAAAGCUUUGGCUCCAAGACACGGGAGACCAUCCUGAGCUUGCAAAACCCCUUCCUUGGGUUUUACUGCUCUAUUGGAAGCUUGGCACUCCUUGGGCUGUUG
This 2713-nucleotide long non-coding RNA is filed under the name Cricetulus griseus (Chinese hamster). RNAcentral describes it as "lncRNA (ENSCGRG00015038079.1)". Lineage: Eukaryota; Metazoa; Chordata; Mammalia; Rodentia; Cricetidae. The record is from RNAcentral.